CAGGAUUAGAUACCCUGGUAGUCCACGCCGUAAACGAUGAGUGCUAAGUGUUGGAGGGUUUCCGCCCUUCAGUGCUGCAGCAAACGCAUUAAGCACUCCGCCUGGGGAGUACGACCGCAAGGUUGAAACUCAAAGGAAUUGACGGGGGCCCGCACAAGCGGUGGAGCAUGUGGUUUAAUUCGAAGCAACGCGAAGAACCUUACCAGGUCUUGACAUCCUUUGACCACUCUAGAGAUAGAGCUUCCCCUUCGGGGGCAAAGUGACAGGUGGUGCAUGGUUGUCGUCAGCUCGUGUCGUGAGAUGUUGGGUUAAGUCCCGCAACGAGCGCAACCCUUAUUGUUAGUUGCCAUCAUUUAGUUGGGCACUCUAGCGAGACUGCCGGUGACAAACCGGAGGAAGGUGGGGAUGACGUCAAAUCAUCAUGCCCCUUAUGACCUGGGCUACACACGUGCUACAAUGGGAAGUACAACGAGUUGCGAAGUCGCGAGGUUAAGCUAAUCUCUUAAAGCUUCUCUCAGUUCGGAUUGUAGGCUGCAACUCGCCUACAUGAAGCCGGAAUCGCUAGUAAUCGCGGAUCAGCACGCCGCGGUGAAUACGUUCCCGGGCCUUGUACACACCGCCCGUCACACCACGAGAGUUUGUAACACCCGAAGUCGGUGAGGUAAC
This 666-nucleotide ribosomal RNA is filed under the name Enterococcus casseliflavus. RNAcentral describes it as "bacterial SSU rRNA". It matches the Rfam family "Bacterial small subunit ribosomal RNA", at positions 773 to 1439 of the family's 1533-position model. The record is from RNAcentral. Lineage: Bacteria; Bacillati; Bacillota; Bacilli; Lactobacillales; Enterococcaceae.